AAAUUAUUCUCCCCUUUUACAUAAAUAAGUUAACAUCAUUGUGGUCAAGUUGCCAACGUGAUUGACGAUGCAGGUAUAAGCUCAAAACCAUUAUAGUUCGUAUUGAUUCAGCCAAGCGAACUGGCAUACUGGCUGUUCAUAUUACCGCGUUGCCUCAUAAAAUGAAUCUGCAAGUAUUUCGAAAUAUUGCAGGGGGAUGAGAAUGAUGGUGCUAUAAAUGGUGUGAGUGGUCAAAGUAAUACCACAAAUACUGUAAAUGUUGGCAGCAACGAAUUAUCUCAGCAAAAAGAGUCUUUCAGUACUGAAAACCAGCAAGAAAAUGGUGGUCAUUCCACAGCAUUAGAGCACAAUCCUCUGAUUGAAGCUAGUGCUAAUCGAAGCUUGGAAGAUGUUAGCGUUGGUAUACCUGAAACAGCAAAGGGGAAUGCCGAGGGUGCAUUGAAUUGUCUGGAACCAUUGCAAGAGGAUAGGAUUGUUGCAGAUGUUUCUAAAGAGAUAGCAAUCGAUGGCCAUAUUAUUCGUGAACUUUGAGAAUGCGAGGUGAAAUGGCUUACGCGUUUGAUAGAGAUGAUUGUUAGUUAGAUGAAUGAGGAACAACUUUAACUUUAGGUUAGCGAUCUAGGUAAACCAGUUUGUACUGUUAAUUAGAUGAUACCUUUUGAUUUCUCUUUAUUGCGGAACCUUUCUUUUUUUUUUGGAGGCCCCCGCUGCCACAAAUGAUGACGUAGGCUCGGCCACUCUUUAUUGUGGAACUGAAAUUAAGAGUAUGUCCUCAUGCUUUACUACUGAGGAACUCGUCUCCCAUGUUCAAUAAUGGUUCGCUUCUUGAGGGAGUAGAAACCAUCUCUCUUUCUUAUUGAUAA
Non-coding RNA from Nicotiana tabacum (common tobacco), 863 nucleotides. The record is from RefSeq and is a predicted model, not a curated record. Lineage: Eukaryota; Viridiplantae; Streptophyta; Magnoliopsida; Solanales; Solanaceae.